AUAUCUAACUUUUUUUGCAUAUCCAAUUAGCGGAGGAAAAGAAACCAACAGGGAUUGCCUCAGUAACGGCGAGUGAAGCGGCAACAGCUCAAAUUUGAAAUCUGGCCCUUUCAGGGCCCGAGUUGUAAUUUGGAGAAGAUGCUUCGGGUGCGGCCCCGGUCUAAGUUCCUUGGAACAGGACGUCACAGAGGGUGAGAAUCCCGUACGUGCCCGGUGGUCGCCCCCGUGUGAAGCUCUUUCGACGAGUCGAGUUGUUUGGGAAUGCAGCUCAAAAUGGGUGGUAAAUUUCAUCUAAAGCUAAAUAUUGGCCAGAGACCGAUAGCGCACAAGUAGAGUGAUCGAAAGAUGAAAAGCACUUUGGAAAGAGAGUUAAACAGUACGUGAAAUUGUUGAAAGGGAAGCGCUUGCAACCAGACUUGCGCGCGGCCGAUCAUCCGGUGUUCGCACCGGUGCACUCGACCGCGCGCAGGCCAGCAUCGGUUUGGGUGGCUGGAGAAAGGCCUCGGGAAUGUGGCUCCCCUCGGGGAGUGUUAUAGCCCGAGGCGCAAUGCAGCCUACCCGGACCGAGGACCGCGCUCGGCUAGGAGCAUGUCGUAAGCGAAAGUGG
Molecule: ribosomal RNA, 607 nt
Filed under: Oidiodendron sp.
Lineage: Eukaryota; Fungi; Ascomycota; Leotiomycetes; Myxotrichaceae
Description: eukaryotic LSU rRNA
Rfam family: Eukaryotic large subunit ribosomal RNA
Source: RNAcentral